UAGGGAAUCUUCGGCAAUGGGGGGAACCCUGACCGAGCAACGCCGCGUGAGUGAAGAAGGUUUUCGGAUCUUAAAGCUCUGUUGUUAAGGAAGAACGAGUGUGAGAAUGGAAAGUUCAUACUGUGACGGUACUUAACCAGAAAGGGACGGCUAACUACGUGCCAGCAGCCGCGGUAAUACGUAGGUCCCGAGCGUUGUCCGGAUUUAUUGGGCGUAAAGCGAGCGCAGGCGGUUAGAAAAGUCUGAAGUGAAAGGCAGUGGCUCAACCAUUGUAGGCUUUGGAAACUGUUUAACUUGAGUGCAGAAGGGGAGAGUGGAAUUCCAUGUGUAGCGGUGAAAUGCGUAGAUAUAUGGAGGAACACCGGUGGCGAACGCGGCUCUCUGGUCUGUAACUGACGCUGAGGCUCGAAAGCGUGGGGAGCGAACAGG
This 429-nucleotide ribosomal RNA is filed under the name Bacteroidota bacterium. Its description in RNAcentral is "Bacteroidetes bacterium partial 16S ribosomal RNA". It matches the Rfam family "Bacterial small subunit ribosomal RNA", at positions 355 to 776 of the family's 1533-position model. Lineage: Bacteria; Pseudomonadati; Bacteroidota. The record is from RNAcentral.